GAACGAACGCUGGCGGCAGGCCUAACACAUGCAAGUCGAGCGCGCCCUUCGGGGUGAGCGGCGGACGGGUGAGUAACGCGUGGGAACGUGCCCUUUUCUACGGAAUAGCCUCGGGAAACUGAGAGUAAUACCGUAUACGCCCUUUGGGGGAAAGAUUUAUCGGAAAAGGAUCGGCCCGCGUUGGAUUAGGUAGUUGGUGGGGUAAUGGCCUACCAAGCCGACGAUCCAUAGCUGGUUUGAGAGGAUGAUCAGCCACACUGGGACUGAGACACGGCCCAGUCUCCUACGGGAGGCAGCAGUGGGGAAUCUUAGACAAUGGGGGCAACCCUGAUCUAGCCAUGCCGCGUGAGUGAUGAAGGCCUUAGGGUUGUAAAGCUCUUUCAGCUGGGAAGAUAAUGACGGUACCAGCAGAAGAAGCCCCGGCUAACUCCGUG
RNAcentral lists this ribosomal RNA (434 nucleotides) under uncultured bacterium. Its description in RNAcentral is "partial 16S ribosomal RNA". It matches the Rfam family "Bacterial small subunit ribosomal RNA", at positions 27 to 507 of the family's 1533-position model. The record is from RNAcentral.